CCUACGGGAGGCUGCAGUGAGGAAUAUUGGUCAAUGGACGAGAGUCUGAACCAGCCAAGUAGCGUGAAGGAUGACUGCCCUAUGGGUUGUAAACUUCUUUUAUAUGGGAAUAAAAUGUUCCACGUGUGGGAUUUUGUAUGUACCAUAUGAAUAAGGAUCGGCUAACUCCGUGCCAGCAGCCGCGGUAAUACGGAGGAUCCGAGCGUUAUCCGGAUUUAUUGGGUUUAAAGGGAGAAUAGGUGGAUUGUUAAGUCAGUUGUGAAAGUUUGCGGCUCAACCGUAAAAUUGCAGUUGAAACUGGCAGUCUUGAGUACAGUAGAGGUGGGCGGAAUUCGUGGUGUAGCGGUGAAAUGCUUAGAUAUCACGAAGAACUCCGAUUGCGAAGGCAGUUCACUGGACUGCAACUGACACUGAGGCUCGAAAGUGUGGGUAUCAAACAGGAUUAGAUACCCCAGUAGUC
Molecule: ribosomal RNA, 460 nt
Filed under: uncultured bacterium
Lineage: Bacteria
Description: partial 16S ribosomal RNA
Rfam family: Bacterial small subunit ribosomal RNA
Source: RNAcentral